RNAcentral lists this ribosomal RNA (1215 nucleotides) under Ixodes holocyclus (paralysis tick). RNAcentral describes it as "16S ribosomal RNA". The stretch from base 981 to 1139 matches the Rfam family "Archaeal large subunit ribosomal RNA", at positions 2544 to 2703 of the family's 2987-position model. Lineage: Eukaryota; Metazoa; Arthropoda; Arachnida; Ixodida; Ixodidae. The record is from RNAcentral.
UUUUUAAGUAUUAAAAUUAAUAAAGUUAAUUAUAUAAGUUUUUUAUAUGUAAUAUUAAAGAAAGAUUAAAAUAUAAUUAGAACUGAAAAGGAAAUUGAAAAAUUUAAUUAAUUAAAAUUUAAAUAGUAAUUGUUUUGUACCUUUUGCAUAAGGGUUUUUUAAAAAAAAUUAAAUAUUUAUAUUUCCCGAAAUUAUUUUGAUCUAUUUUUUUUAUAAAAAUUUAAUUUGUUAUAAAUAAUUAAAUAAUAUAAAAAUAGAAAUGAAAUUUUUUUCAAAAAUAGUGAUAUCUGGUUAUUAUAAGGAGAUUUUAUAUCUAUCUAUAGAAUGAAUAUUUUUUAUUUUAAAAAUAUAGAAAAAUUAAGUAGGGAUAAGCUUAUUUAAUAAAUUAUAAUUAAUUUAAUUUUUCCUAAAAAAGGAAUGAAAUUUUCUUUUUUUUGUUAUAAAAAAUUAAUUUAAAUAGUAAUGAAAUUUAAUUAUAUUUAAUAAUUAAUUUAAUUGUAAAUUUGUAUAAAAAUGAAAAAAUUAGUAUAAGAAUAAAUUUUUUUUUAUUUAAUUUAAAAAUUAAUUUUAAAAUAGAAUUGUUAAUGAGGAAUUCGGCAAAAUUCUUAUUAAGUUGGCUAUUUAUCAAAAACAUUUCAUUUUGAAAUAAUAAAAUGUAUUAUCUGCUCAAUGAAAUUAUUAAAUUGCUGUGGUAUUUUGACUAUACGAAGGUAUUGAAAUAAGGCUUUAAAUGAGUGCUAAAAGAAUGAUAGAACAAUUUAAAUCUGUCUUUUUAAUAAAUAUAGAAGUUAACUUUUUAUGUGCAGAGGCAAAAAUAAGAUUAAGGGACAAGAAGACCCUAUGAAUUUUAUUAUUUUCUCAAAAAAAUUUUUUUGAGAAAAAUAAUUAGUUGGGGCGACUUAAAAAGAUAAAGAAUCUUUUUGUUAAUUAUUUAAAAAUUUGAUCCAAUAAUAUUGAUUAAAUUAAUAAAAUACUCUAGGGAUAACAGCGUAAUAAUUUUGGAUAGCUAAUAUUGAUAAAAUUGAUUGCGACCUCGAUGUUGGAUUAGGAUACUUAUUUAAUGAAGAAGUUAAAUUAAGGAGUUUGUUCAACUUUUAAAUUCCUACAUGAUCUGAGUUCAGACCGGCGUAAGCCAGGUUGGUUUCUAUCUUUAUUUUAAUUUUUUUUUAAUUAGUACGAAAGGAAUAUUAAAAAAUAAUUAUUUAUUUAAAAAGU